GACGAACGCUGGCGGCGUGCUUAACACAUGCAAGUCGAACGGAAAGGCCCUGCUUUUGUGGGGUGCUCGAGUGGCGAACGGGUGUGUAACACGAGAGUAACCUGCCCUAGACUUUGGGAUAACUUCAGGAAACUGGGGCUAAUACCGGAUAGGAGCUCCUGCUGCAUGGUGGGGGUUGGAAAGUUUCGGCGGUUGGGGAUGGACUCGCGGCUUAUCAGCUUGUUGGUGGGGUAGUGGCUUACCAAGGCGUUGACGGGUAGCCGGCCUGAGAGGGUGACCGGCCACAUUGGGACUGAGAUACGGCCCAGACUCCUACGGGAGGCAGCAGUGGGGAAUAUUGCACAAUGGGCGGAAGCCUGAUGCAGCAACGCCGCGUGCGGGAUGACGGCCUUCGGGUUGUAAACCGCUUUCGCCUGUGACGAAGCGUGAGUGACGGUAAUGGGUAAAGAAGCACCGGCUAACUACGUG
RNAcentral lists this ribosomal RNA (468 nucleotides) under uncultured bacterium. Its description in RNAcentral is "partial 16S ribosomal RNA". It matches the Rfam family "Bacterial small subunit ribosomal RNA", at positions 28 to 507 of the family's 1533-position model. The record is from RNAcentral.